Molecule: ribosomal RNA, 274 nt
Filed under: uncultured bacterium
Lineage: Bacteria
Description: partial 16S ribosomal RNA
Rfam family: Bacterial small subunit ribosomal RNA
Source: RNAcentral
AUACGGAGGGUGCAAGCGUUGUUCGGAAUCACUGGGCGUAAAGGGCGCGCAGGCGGUUUGGUAAGUCAGACGUGAAAGCCCAUGGCUCAACCAUGGAAGUGCAUUUGAAACUGUCAGACUUGAGUACUAGAGGGGAAAGUGGAAUUCCCGGUGUAGAGGUGAAAUGCGUAGAUAUCGGGAGGAAUACCGGUGGCGAAGGCGACUUUCUGGCUAGAUACUGACGCUGAGGCGCGAAAGCGUGGGGAGCAAACAGGAUUAGAUACCCCAGUAGUCC